RNAcentral lists this ribosomal RNA (497 nucleotides) under uncultured bacterium. RNAcentral's name for it is "partial 16S ribosomal RNA". It matches the Rfam family "Bacterial small subunit ribosomal RNA", at positions 28 to 507 of the family's 1533-position model. The record is from RNAcentral.
GAUGAACGCUGGCGGCGUGCCUAAUACAUGCAAGUCGAGCGAACAGAUGAGGAGCUUGCUCCUCUGACGUUAGCGGCGGACGGGUGAGUAACACGUGGAUAACCUACCUAUAAGACUGGGAUAACUUCGGGAAACCGGAGCUAAUACCGGAUAAUAUAUUGAACCGCAUGGUUCAAUAGUGAAAGACGGUUUUGCUGCCACUUAUAGAUGGAUCCGCGCCGCAUUAGCUAGUUGGUAAGGUAACGGCUUACCAAGGCAACGAUGCGUAGCCGACCUGGGAGGGUGAUCGGCCACACUGGAACUGAGACACGGUCCAGACUCCUACGGGAGGCAGCAGUAGAGAAUCUUCCGCAAUGGGCGAAAGCCUGACGGAGCAACGCCGCGUGAGUGAUGAAGGUCUUCGGAUCGUAAAACUCUGUUAUUAGGGAAGAACAAAUGUGCAAGUAACUAUGCACGUCUUGACGGUACCUAAUCAGAAAGCCACGGCUAACUACGUG